This 385-nucleotide ribosomal RNA is filed under the name uncultured bacterium. Its description in RNAcentral is "bacterial SSU rRNA". It matches the Rfam family "Bacterial small subunit ribosomal RNA", at positions 28 to 412 of the family's 1533-position model. The record is from RNAcentral.
GACGAACGCUGGCGGCGUGCUUAACACAUGCAAGUCGAACGGUGAACCUGCUUCGGUGGGGGAUCAGUGGCGAACGGGUGAGUAACACGUGGGCAACCUGCCCACUGGCUCUGGGAUAACUCCAAGAAAUUGGGGCGUAAUACCGGAUAUGACCGCUGACCGCAUGGUCUGGUGGUGGAAAGAUUUAUCGGCUGGGGAUGGACCCGCGGCCUAUCAGCUUGUUGGUGGGGUAGUGGCCUACCAAGGCGACGACGGGUAGCCGGCCUGAGAGGGUGACCGGCCACACUGGGACUGAGACACGGCCCAGACUCCUACGGGAGGCAGCAGUGGGGAAUAUUGCACAAUGGGCGAAAGCCUGAUGCAGCGACGCCGCGUGAGGGAUGAC